GNGNGCCUUCGAGCUACACUCCCAACCCCUGUGACAUACCAAUUGUUGCCUCGGCGGAUCAGCCCGCUCCCGGUAAAACGGAACGGCCCGCCAGAGGACCCCUAAACUCUGUUUCUAUAUGUAACUUCUGAGUAAAACCAUAAAUAAAUCAAAACUUUCAACAACGGAUCUCUUGGUUCUGGCAUCGAUGAAGAACGCAGCAAAAUGCGAUAAGUAAUGUGAAUUGCAGAAUUCAGUGAAUCAUCGAAUCUUUGAACGCACAUUGCGCCCGCCAGUAUUCUGGCGGGCAUGCCUGUUCGAGCGUCAUUUCAACCCUCAAGCCCCCGGGUUUGGUGUUGGGGAUCGGCGAGCCUCACGGCAAGCCGGCCCCGAAAUACAGUGGCGGUCUCGCUGCAGCUUCCAUUGCGUAGUAGUAAAACCCUCGCAACUGGUACGCGGCGCGGCCAAGCCGUUAAACCCCCAACUUCUGAAUGUUGACCUCGGAUCAGGUAGGAAUACCCGCUGAACUUAAGCAUAUCAAUAAGCGGAGGAA
This 532-nucleotide ribosomal RNA is filed under the name Fusarium thapsinum. RNAcentral's name for it is "eukaryotic LSU rRNA". The stretch from base 153 to 306 matches the Rfam family "5.8S ribosomal RNA". The record is from RNAcentral. Lineage: Eukaryota; Fungi; Ascomycota; Sordariomycetes; Hypocreales; Nectriaceae.